CCGAGUCCCGACGCACUCCCCCCGGCGCCGGGACUCUCCCCGAGCCGGGCUUCGGCGCCUCCCCCCGAGCGCUGAAGCCCGGCUCCGCC
Molecule: non-coding RNA, 89 nt
Filed under: Streptomyces sp. F-3
Lineage: Bacteria; Bacillati; Actinomycetota; Actinomycetes; Kitasatosporales; Streptomycetaceae
Description: Streptomyces RNA 3202
Rfam family: Streptomyces RNA 3202
About the family: Identified by deep sequencing of transcriptome at the end of exponential growth phase.
Source: Rfam by way of RNAcentral